UCAUACAGCAAAAGGGACUGUGAAGUGAUUGGAGUAAGGAACUGGGGAUUGAAAGAUGAUCCUGGGUCAUCGGGGCCCAGCGUCACCACAGUGUCCUCAUGAGAGGAAGGCAAGAGGGUCAGAGGCAGAAAAGAACUGGAAGACACAGCAGCGCUGGCUUUGAAGACAGGAAGGGUCCACGAGCCGAGGGAUGUGGGCUCCUCUAGAUGCUGGGAAGGGCAGGAUGUGGGUGGGUUCCCCCCUGAGCCUCCAGGAGGGACCAACUUGUUAGCAUCUUGGUUUUUAGCCUGGUGAGUCUGAUUUCAGACUUCUGAAGCCCAGUACUGAGACAUAACGAGUGUGUGUUGGUGUGAGCUGCCAGGGUUGUAGUGGUUAAUCACGGACCAGCAGGGAGUAACAGGCAACAGGCCUCUGAGAGAAUUCAUCCUUUAGCCAAAAGGAUUUUUAAGUGGGAGACUUAUGUGAUUUUUGUCUUUCUUUGUUGGAAGGAAAGGAACAGAAGUAAACAUGGAAUUCAGCCUGAGAAGGAGGGAGGUGCAGAGGCUGUGUGCACGAGGCAGGUGGAGUGUCAGAGCACAGGUGAGCUGGGGAGUGAUGGGGGUCGAGAGGAGGGGGAUUCCAGAUGUUCACAAGGUGACCAGUCAGAUGUGGACACAGGUGGCUGUCAGAUCAAUUGAAUACAGAGAUAUGGGGAAAGUCAUUCUAUCUCAGCCAUUUAUAGAUCUCAGUAUGUGGGUUGGGGUGACUUGGGGGACGUCAGAAAUGGAUGUAAUGAAAUAAGUUCACUGGUCAGCCCCUAGACAAAGCUGAGGCGGAACAGCAGGAACAGCAGCCAGGCAAGCUCAGACAAGCCCAGAGAACCUUCAGGAGGCUCAGGAUCUCAGGGGACCUGACUGAAAUCUGAUUCCUCCUCAAGUGCUAGUAGGUCAGUCACAGGGGAAAAUAGAAAGCUUGACUCGUUUUUUUCUUAGGCAGCUGAGUUGACUUUCAGGUUAGCAACAGCGUGGAGCCGUUUCCCUGGUGAAGUCACACUUGAGGUAGCCUCAGUCCCUACCUUCCAGGCAUACUUCAUUCGCCAUUCCUGUUUGUGCACAGUGUGACCCAAAGGGGUCAGCCCUGGAGCAGUCACAGAAAUGCUGGCUUUCCCUUAGGAAUUCCUAGGCUAAUAAAUUCACUUCCCCCAGCUCAGGGUGCUUAUCUGUGAAUGCAGGUGUUACAGCCACCUUGAAACCGUGCAAAGCAGAGACCGAGUACUUGACACAUCAUCACAGCACCCAUCCAGUAAACACAACUGUGGUCAGCAUCCCCAAGAACAGCAAGGGCUGCCCACCUCUGGUCUUACCAUUGCAGCUGCAGGUAAACGUGGGUCUUGGAAGUCCCAUUUCCCAAUUCAUCCCAUGUCAUGUUCCCCACGACUAAAACACUCAGCGUCACUCCAGGGGAACUGUGCAGCACGAAAUAACCACACAAGAGACAGAAAGAGAAAGAGCGAGCUCUUGCUGAACCUUUUAUUGAAGAGAAGCCAUUCAAAUGAGGCCAGGGGUCAGAUUUCAGGGGGCUGAGUCUAGCUUCCUGAUGUUGCUGUCAGCAGGUUGACUGACAUCUAGGAAGGCCACACCCAAAGGCAGAGCAAGAGAAGGGGGAUACACAAAGGCAUUUCCAUGGAAUAUUCUAUCCCAAACAGGACAAAGGGGUAGUAUCACAAAGGAACAGGUGAGUAUAGUUCAAUCCAUGGGAUGACGCCUACGUUUGAAGAUGUGUCCUCAAAUUUCUGGGACCGGGGCAAUGUCCAGGUCACUCAUUACAAGAUAUAGUGAUGGUCAAAAGCCUCUCCGCUCCAGGCCGGAAGACACAGAUCAUUCAGAGUGGCUCCCCACAAUCCCACUGGAUCCAGCCUGUGACACUUGCAUCCAGUGUCUUUGUGGCGAGAACAGCAGUGGGUAUUUUAUCCUCUCUAGAGUCAAGGGAUAGGGAAAGCCCCACAGCUCUGGUUCCUAGGGUCAUUGGAGUAGCCUGGUCUGCCCUGUUGUCCCAGAGCAAUAUUCACAUUGACUGUAUUCACUCUCAGCGUCCCCAAGUGGACUAUAGUCAAUAAGUCACACUCUUGCCCUCCCUGCUUCUACAGGGACUUAGUUGGCAGGAGCCACCACCACUCCUCUUUGUAAGAUUUCUGUGUUGUUUUUGUAUUUAACUUUUCUUUUUCAUGUCAUGAGUUCUCUUUCUUGUGGUGUCUCUCGCUGUUUCCCAUGUGUUUGGUGGUCUUUUGCAGGCUCCUUUGUAUUUUCAAGUGAAAAUUCAGUGGUUUCUAAGGUAGUCACAAAGGAAUGCGACUGCCAGCACUCACAUUCCAGAACAUUCUCAUCUCUCCAGAAAGAAACCCUGUGUCCCUUAGCUGUCAUUCCCUGUUCCACCCCCCACAGUCACUAGCAACAGUUAAUCUGCUUUCUGACUCUCUGGAUUGCCUCUUCUAGAUACUUUGUAUAAAUGGAGUUUUAUAGUAUGUGGCCUCUUGUGACUAGCUUAUUUUCACUAAGCAUAAUGUCCUCGGUGUUCAUCCAUGCUGUAGUGUGUCACUGGUUCAUUCCUUUUUAUGGAUAAAUAAUAUUCCACUAUAUGAAUAGACCAUGUUAUGUUUACCCAUUCAUCCAUUGCAGGACAUUUGGGCUAUUUCCACCUUUUGACUACAGGGACUAGUGCUGCUAUGAACAUUCAUGUACAAGUUUCCAUGUGAACAUAAUGUGUUCAUUUUUCUUGGGCAUAUACUAUCUGGUAGUGAAACAUAUGGGCACUCUGUGUUUCACUUUUUUUUAAUAUUUUUUUUUUAGUUGUAGAUGGACACAAUAUCUUUAUUUCUUUAAUUUUAUGUGGUGCUGAGGAUCAAACCCAGUGCCUCACACAUGUAAGGCAGGCACUCUAGCACCGAGCCUCAGCCCCAGCCCCUGCAUUUCACUUUUUUUCCGCAAUACUGAGAAUGGAACCCAGAGCCUUGUGCAUGCUAGGCAAGUGCUCAACCACUGAACUGCAACCCCGGCCUUUAUUUUCCACUUUUGAACUGCCAGGCAGGUUUCUCCAGUCUGCUAUUUAUAAAUGAGAUGAAGACUUCACAUGCUUAUCAGUCAUGGUAAGCAGUUUACAAUUUUAAUGUCUCCAUCCUAGGCUAGAGAAAUAGCUCAGUGGUAGAGCUCAUGCUUAGUAUGUACAAGGCCCUGAGUUUAAUCCUCAGCACCCCAAGGAAAAGAAGGGAGAAAAGGAAUUCUAGCCUUGUUCCUCAUCCAGCAACCUAGAGGAAGACCCACAGGCAUUGCCAGGUCUUCCGCAGGUCAAGAAGCCUGGAUUCUGGGAGUCUGGACACCUCUUUCUCUUACAGAUGAAGCUGACUUGGAGGUCUGGUGGAAGGACCAGUCACUGUACAUCAGGGACUCAGCCUUAGUGAGGAGCCAUCUGCAAAUCUAGAGACUGACCAGGGCAACAGCACCCUUACAGCAGGGACAGGGACCUAGGAGCAGGCAGCUGGACUGGAUGUGCCCAGGUGGGAGCAGCAGCCAUCUCCCUAGAUCAGCUUUCCCACUCCCAGAGGUAGGGCCCAUGAAUUUGCCAGAGUUUACUUGUAAGAUGGCUGCAAGCUGCAAGAGCCCCUGGGGAAGGAUGAGCACUUAGGAUUCCAGGUUCUGCCCUACCCUGGCAACUUCCACACUCUGUAUCACAAGACCCUCUCAGUCCCUCAGAUAGGAGACCAGAAAGCCAGAUAAAAAACCACAGCCAGUAGCUGGGUGCAGUGGUGCUCGCCUGUAAUCCCAGUGGCUUGGGAGGCUGAGGCAAGAAGGAUCACAAGUUCAACGGCAGCCUCAGCAAAAAGCGAGGUGCUAAGCAACUCAGUGAGACCCUGUCUCUAAAUAAAAUACAAAAUAGGGCUGGAUGUGGCUCAGUGGCUGAGCGCUCCUGAGUUCAGUCCCCGAUAACACCCCCUGGCCCCCGACCAAAAAAAACCCCUGCAGCCCGAGCAUUUCUUGGAGCACUCCACAGGCUCACCUCCAGGUGUUCAGAAUGAAGAACAAGUAGCUGGAUGUAAGCAAAGCCAGAUGUUUUCAGUCCAUUUAAAGCUCAGACAAACUGAUAGGAGCCAAAAGGGCAAAGGCCAGGAACAGAUAACUCACCAAAAACAGGAGUCCACUAACCUGAGCCUGGGUUAGCAAGUGCCAAGGUUGGGGCCCAGGAGUAGGGAUUGGCCAAGGCAAAGGCUUAGUCCAGCACAGGCAGGACCAACCCUCACUUUCCUCAGGGGUGGUGCCCACUUUAAUCAGAAAGACCCUUUGAGGACAUUUACCCACCAUAUUAUAGGGUUCGUGGUCUAACAAUAAAAAUCACUGGUGAAAGGGCUAUCCACAGGAGGGCGUUUCUUCCCAUCUAUAAAAGGUCAUCGUCAAGUGGAGCCUAAUUCAAAGCCCGGGGAUGGGACUGGUUUGGUGAGUCAUGUAGUUUCCACUAGAAACCACAGUGAGGAGGCCUACAACCUGUGGAGUGACAGUGGCUCCCAAACCCUGCGCCAGGCGCAGUCCAGAUGUCCCUCAGCACACACUUGCUCACACACUCUGUCUCUGAAAAGUGGCCAAAAGGGGUGGGGGCUGGGAUCAGCAAACCCUGGAACUUGGGUGUGGAACCUCAAUGCUCCAGUGCACAUGGUAUAAGAGAAAGGAGCAGGGUCCCAAGUAGCACCUGCCCCCUUUGUGGCCUUACUUAUGGCUGCAAAAGGUAAGAAGGGCAGUGGAAGAAGAAAUGGGGGACCAGCUGGUGGGCUCCAAGGGCAGCACACAACAACGGACUGAUGAGAGGUGUAGGGGUCAAGAGAAGAGAGGAAGGGGCUAGAGGGACAGUCUGAAAUUGGCCACUCUGGGGAAGGAAAGGAGCCCAGGAGGGUGGGCUCCUUCAUGUUGGCAUUGGUGGGUGGAGAUUUCCACUCCAUCCAGUCAGGGCCCCACAGCUUCGUAUGGUUGAAUUUGAGGGGAAAGAGGCAUCCUCAGUAGUGUGGUUACCGCAGUGGCUUCAGGUGAAGCUGAGAGGGAAAGGUGGGGAUGGGGAAAGCACCUUUAUCUUUGGUCCAUCUGUUAGACAACUCAUCCACUUGUCUCACUGGAUUGCACUUUGGGUGGUGGGCUCUGCUACAGCCCAAUGGGUCUCAGCAGGAGAGGUUGGGUGGCCCUUGUCACCCACAGGCACUGCUGGGUCUUCUACAUGUCAAGGAGCCAGAAUUCUGGGGGCUGGACACCCCCUUCUCUUGCAGUUGAUGCUGGCCUGGAUCCCUGACUGGGGGACCAGGGACCAUACAUCAGGACUAAGGCACAGUGAGGAGCCCCUUAGAACUCCAGAGGCUGGCCAGGGCAACUGCAGCAUUGCAAGGACAGGGACUGAGGAGCAGGGAGUUGGAUUGGGUACACCAGGUGGGAGGGGCAGCCCCCCACCCUCACCUUCCCACUCCCAGAGGUGGACUCACCUCCAGGGCCCAGGCUUCCCUGGGCACAUGCUUGCCUUCCUCUUCCUCCCCCAGAUCCCUACUGCCUGCCUUCCUUCCUCCCUCUGGACUGUCACCUCUGUCCUGCCCCCAGGAAUGCUGCUGUUCUGCUCUGGCAAAGAAUGGCUGUGAGACACCUCGCAUAGGAUCUGGCUCUCCACUAAGCUGUCAGCAAACCGAAAUGCUGCACUUCCUGGUCCCUGUGGCCUGAAGGAAAGCAGCUCAAAUGUGUCCAUCUUGGCCUCUCCAGCUCCCUACACCGGGCCUGGUGCUCAGUAGGUGGCAAAAGUCUGUUGACCAAAUGAACAGCAGCCAGCCCUUGCUCUUAGUGGCCAAGAAAAGGACACCACCACCCAGGUUCAUUAUAAUCCCACACAUUGUAGCUGAGCCCCCACCCUGUGGAUCAGGCCUCCCAAACUCUACAGGAAACGGGAGGGCACCCUACGCCCACUUCAGGGGGAAUCUGUCAGAGACCAGGGGUGGCAGUUGUGGAGGGGAUCAGUGACAUGAAUCAUGUAGAGGAGGCAGCAUUAAGGAGCUCAGAGAACAAGGCAGGGCAAAGGAGGGGCACCCUCCACCCCAACUUGCCAUCUCCUUCACUGACCCAUUGCCCACUGACCAUCUUUAAAUGAACUAGCUCAUACCUUCAUCCAGUGACUGGCACAGGGUCAAGAAGAUUCCCCCAAGACAUUGUCCUCCCCUGCCUCAGCUCUCCCAGUAUAUCAGGGGCCUGAGACCCAGAGGCUGCGCUCAUCAGGACUUUGGGUGGGAGAGAAAACAUUAUUAUUAUUAUUACUAGAUCUAUCUUCCUCAGGGCCCAGGCGUGCUGGGACUUCAUGUUCCAGAAUAGGAGCAUGUUCAACCCACACAGAUGCUUCUAUUCCAGGGGCAGGCCAAGGUCAUGAGGAACUAGAAACUGCUUUUCCCAGAAAGGCAGUUGGGGAGUAUUGAGUGGAAGCCUUCCAGCUGUCUGUGGGGUCAGGCCCCUCUGAGUCCAGUAGAGGGGGUGGAAAGCUGUAGGCAACAUACUUUAAAGAAGGGCAUCUCCCUUUACACUGUGCACAUCUGGGCUGGGUGACUCCUUGCCGCAAGGGACUGUCUGGUGCAUGAUAAAGACAUUCGGUAGCAUCUCUGGACCAUUCUCCCCCCGUUGCAACAGCCAAAUAUUUCUCUGGGCAUCACCAGGUACCUCUUGGGAGCCCUGGUGAGAAUCAUCACUGUGCAGAACAGAACCUUUGUGGAUGUUGAGGGCCUUGUGCCACAUUCAGGUAUGUAGGGAGCCUGCUAUUCACUUGGAUGUUCUUUGAUGCAGGGGACCAAAUCCAGAACCUUUUGCAUGCUAAGCAUGAGCUCUACAGCUAAACUAUACUCCUAGCCCCAAGCCUCCUGUUUUAUGUGCGCUGUCCCCUCUGCCUGGAGUCCUGUCCCCAAGCCCUACCUGCCAUCUUCCAGAACUGAACCCACAUCACCACUCCCAAGAAUGUUCUGUGGACCUUCUUAUAAGUUUGAUCACCAUGGUAUUAUAGAAGGCAAAAUAAUGCCUCUUCCCCAGAUGUCCACAUCCUCAUCCCCAGAACCUGGGAUUGUGUUCCCUUACUUACAAAAGGGAGCUUGUGGGGCUGAGGAUAUGACUCAGUUGGUAGAGUGCCUGUCUCACGUGCACAAGGCCCUGGGUUCAAUCCCCAGCAACGCAAAGAGGGGCGGGGGGGGGGAGUUUGAGAUGGGGGGUCAUUCUGGAUUAUCCAUGGCCCAGUGUCAUCACAAGGGUCUUCAUAAGAGGAAGACAGGAGGGUCAGAGCUAAAGAGGGAGACAUGGAGGUGGAAGCACAGGUCAGCAACUGGAAGACACAGCACUGCUGGCUCUGAAGACCGAGGAAGGGGCCACGAGCUGAGGGAUGCAGGCGCCUCUAGAAGCUGGAAAAGAUAGGAGAGAGAGGUUCUCCCUGAAGCCCUCAGAAAGAACCAGUCCUGCUGACACCUGACUUUGGGGAUUGGACCUCUGGCACUGUAAAAUAACAAAUUUGCCUUUUUCUCACCAAUUAGAAAAAAAUAAGUUACCUACAAAGUCUCUGUGUUAGCUUUGCAUUGUUAAAAUAACUGGGGCUGGGGUAGUGGCUCAGUGGUAGAGCACUUGCCUAGAAUGUGUGAGACACUAGGCUCAAUUCUCAGCACCACAUAUAAAUAAAUAAAGUUCCAUCAACAGCUAAUAAAAUAUUUUAAAAACAUAUUCAGAAGCCUGGAGUAGAGGAUGAUGGGGUAUGGGUGCUCCAAGAAUCCCAUUUCCUGGUAGAACCAUGUGGCUCCAUUCUAAUGUAUGUUGUUUGUGGGGAGGGGUUCUGCACAGAAUUUAAGAGUUGCACACCGCCCCCCAGACUUGACCUCCCCAACCCUGUGGAAAUGCUGUGACAAGGUGGAGGCCUCAAAAUGCAGAGGGUGGGGGGGUGGAGGGCGGGGUGCUUGGCUGGGACUGCCCUGAGGGAGGUUACAUGUCCUAUGGUGACAACCAGAGGGAGCUGCAGGUUCUGACAGAGUUCCCAUGGCUGGAUGGCCUCAGCCCUAUGGGAGGAAAAGAUUGGACCUGCUUCCAGUAUUGGUGGCCUUGGGCUUCUGUUUGAUCGGCUAUUGGAGGUCCCCUGCAAUUCUGUAAGAAUGUUAGGAUCUGCUUUUACAUUUCUGAAAAAAAAAAAAAAAACAUUAGUAUUCUGAUACAGCUUGCUUUGAAUCUGUAGACCAAUUUAGGGAGUAUUGCUAAGUUAAUCCUGGUAGGUCUUCCAAUCCGUGAACAUAGGAUGUUUUUCCAUUGAUUAGGUUUAUUUAAAUUUUUUUUUUUUUUUUUGUAUCAGAGAUUGAAUUCAGGGGCACUCAACCCCUCAGCCACAUACCCAGCCCUAUUUUAUAUUUUCUUUUUUUUUUUUUUAAGAGAGAGAAUUUUUAAUAUUUAUUUUUUAGUUUUCAGCAGACACAACAUCUUUGUUUGUAUGUGGUGCUGAGGAUGGAACCCGGGCCGCACGCAUGCUAGGCGAGCACGCUACUGCUUGAGCCACAUCCCCAGCCCCUAUUUUGUAUUUUCUUAAGAGACAGUGUUUCACUGAUUGCUUAGCACCUCUCUGUUGCUGAGGUUGGCUUUGAACUUGCACACAAUCCUCCUAUCUCAGCCUCCCAAGCCACUGGGAUUACAGGUAUGUGCCACCAUGCCCAGUUUUCACAAUGCUCUUUAGUGUUUGGUGUAUUAAUCCUGCAACUUCUUAGUUAAAUUUAUUCCUAAGUACUUAUUCUUUUUGAUUCUAUUCUGAAAUUGAUUUUUAAAUUUCCCUUUAAUUACUCAAUGCUAUUGUAUGGAAAGACAACAGAUUUUUGUAGGUUAAUCUUGUAUCCUGCAAAUUUCCUAACUUCAUUUUGUAGCUUUAAUAGUCCUCUCUCUCUCUCUCUCUCUCUGUGUGUGUGUGUGUGUGUGUAGAUUCUUUAGGAUUUUCUACAUAGGAGGUCAUACCAUUCACGAAUGGAGAGUCUGCCCUCCAUGGGUUCUGAUCUAGAGAUUCAACCAGUUGUAGACCAAAAUAUUCUUUAAAAGUUGUGUCUAUUCUGAACAUGUGCAGACUUUUAUUCUUGUCAUUAUUUCCUAAACACUGGAGUAUAACAAUUAUUUAGAUAGAGUUUACAUAGUGUGCAUUCCAAGCCAUCUGUAGAUGGUUUAAGUAUGCUGGAGGAUGUGUACAUUUUUUAUGUAACUGCUCUGCCAUUUUAUAUAAAGGACUUGGGCAUCCAAGGAUCUGGGUAUCUUUAUGUGUCUUGGAACCAGUCUCUUCAGUUCCAAGGGGUGACUCUAGUUUUGCCUCUGUUACCCCUCAUGAAUGGGAUUACUGCCUAUCAAAGAGCCAGAGUGAAUGAGGUAGGUCCUUUUAUCCUUCUGCCAUGAGAAAAUGCAGCAUGGCACUAUCUUGGAAGCAGAAGAUAAGCCCUUAGCUUCAGAACCAAGUGCAAUAAAUUUCUAUGAUUUAUAAAUUACCCUGCCUCAGGUGUUGUGUUACAACCACACAAACAGACUAAAAUAACAGGUCUUCCCAUCCAUUCCCUUGACUUAGGGUGUGGCUGCAUGAUUGGCUUUGGCCAAUACAACCUGAAUGGAAGUGACCCCCACCAGCUCCAUUUGCAAGGCUUCUGGUGCUCCUCGAACAUUCCCAUUGCCACGAAACAAACACCUGGGAAACUUCCAAAUGAAAAGACACAUGCAACAGUCAUGAAUCCAAUUCACAGACCAGAGCAAGGCCCAGCAGGGCUGCAGUCAUUUCC
RNAcentral lists this long non-coding RNA (9796 nucleotides) under Marmota monax (woodchuck). The stretch from base 7135 to 7192 matches the Rfam family "tRNA", at positions 8 to 63 of the family's 71-position model. Lineage: Eukaryota; Metazoa; Chordata; Mammalia; Rodentia; Sciuridae. The record is from RNAcentral.